UGAGGAAUAUUGCACAAUGGGCGCAAGCCUGAUGCAGCAACGCCGCGUGCGGGACGAAGGCCUUCGGGUCGUAAACCGCUUUUCUGGGGGAAGAGCAAGGACGGUACCUCAGGAAUAAGUCUCGGCUAACUACGUGCCAGCAGCCGCGGUAAAACGUAGGAGGCGAGCGUUAUCCGGAUUUACUGGGCGUAAAGCGCACGCAGGCGGUUCUGUUAGUCGGACGUGAAAGCUCACGGCUUAACCGGGAGAGGCCGUUCGAUACUGCGGGGCUUGAGGUAGGGAGAGGAAUGCGGAAUUCCCGGUGUAGUGGUGGAAUGCGUAGAUAUCGGGAGGAACACCUGUGGCGAAAGCGGCAGUCUGGCCCUCACCUGACGCUGAGGUGCGAAAGCGUGGGUAGCAAACA
This 403-nucleotide ribosomal RNA is filed under the name uncultured bacterium. Its description in RNAcentral is "bacterial SSU rRNA". It matches the Rfam family "Bacterial small subunit ribosomal RNA", at positions 355 to 774 of the family's 1533-position model. The record is from RNAcentral.